RNAcentral lists this ribosomal RNA (1888 nucleotides) under Klebsiella pneumoniae. RNAcentral's name for it is "23S ribosomal RNA". It matches the Rfam family "Bacterial large subunit ribosomal RNA", at positions 1060 to 2925 of the family's 2925-position model. The record is from RNAcentral. Lineage: Bacteria; Pseudomonadati; Pseudomonadota; Gammaproteobacteria; Enterobacterales; Enterobacteriaceae.
UAAGUGGGAAACGAUGUGGGAAGGCACAGACAGCCAGGAUGUUGGCUUAGAAGCAGCCAUCAUUUAAAGAAAGCGUAAUAGCUCACUGGUCGAGUCGGCCUGCGCGGAAGAUGUAACGGGGCUAAACCAUGCACCGAAGCUGCGGCAGCGACGCUUAUGCGUUGUUGGGUAGGGGAGCGUUCUGUAAGCCUGCGAAGGUGGCCUGUGAGGGCUGCUGGAGGUAUCAGAAGUGCGAAUGCUGACAUAAGUAACGAUAAAGCGGGUGAAAAGCCCGCUCGCCGGAAGACCAAGGGUUCCUGUCCAACGUUAAUCGGGGCAGGGUGAGUCGACCCCUAAGGCGAGGCCGAAAGGCGUAGUCGAUGGGAAACAGGUUAAUAUUCCUGUACUUGGUGUUACUGCGAAGGGGGGACGGAGAAGGCUAUGUUAGCCGGGCGACGGUUGUCCCGGUUUAAGCAUGUAGGCGGAGGUUCCAGGUAAAUCCGGUACCUUUUAACGCUGAGGUGUGAUGACGAGGCACUACGGUGCUGAAGUAACAAAUGCCCUGCUUCCAGGAAAAGCCUCUAAGCAUCAGGUAACAUCAAAUCGUACCCCAAACCGACACAGGUGGUCAGGUAGAGAAUACCAAGGCGCUUGAGAGAACUCGGGUGAAGGAACUAGGCAAAAUGGUGCCGUAACUUCGGGAGAAGGCACGCUGGUGUGUAGGUGAAGUCCCUGCGGAUGGAGCUGAGACCAGUCGAAGAUACCAGCUGGCUGCAACUGUUUAUUAAAAACACAGCACUGUGCAAACACGAAAGUGGACGUAUACGGUGUGACGCCUGCCCGGUGCCGGAAGGUUAAUUGAUGGGGUUAUCCGUAAGGAGAAGCUCUUGAUCGAAGCCCCGGUAAACGGCGGCCGUAACUAUAACGGUCCUAAGGUAGCGAAAUUCCUUGUCGGGUAAGUUCCGACCUGCACGAAUGGCGUAAUGAUGGCCAGGCUGUCUCCACCCGAGACUCAGUGAAAUUGAACUCGCUGUGAAGAUGCAGUGUACCCGCGGCAAGACGGAAAGACCCCGUGAACCUUUACUAUAGCUUGACACUGAACAUUGAGCCUUGAUGUGUAGGAUAGGUGGGAGGCUUUGAAGCGUGGACGCCAGUCUGCGUGGAGCCAACCUUGAAAUACCACCCUUUAAUGUUUGAUGUUCUAACGUUGGCCCCUNACCGGGGUUGCGGACAGUGUCUGGUGGGUAGUUUGACUGGGGCGGUCUCCUCCCAAAGCGUAACGGAGGAGCACGAAGGUUAGCUAAUCCUGGUCGGACAUCAGGAGGUUAGUGCAAUGGCAUAAGCUAGCUUGACUGCGAGCGUGACGGCGCGAGCAGGUGCGAAAGCAGGUCAUAGUGAUCCGGUGGUUCUGAAUGGAAGGGCCAUCGCUCAACGGAUAAAAGGUACUCCGGGGAUAACAGGCUGAUACCGCCCAAGAGUUCAUAUCGACGGCGGUGUUUGGCACCUCGAUGUCGGCUCAUCACAUCCUGGGGCUGAAGUAGGUCCCAAGGGUAUGGCUGUUCGCCAUUUAAAGUGGUACGCGAGCUGGGUUUAGAACGUCGUGAGACAGUUCGGUCCCUAUCUGCCGUGGGCGCUGGAGAAUUGAGGGGGGCUGCUCCUAGUACGAGAGGACCGGAGUGGACGCAUCACUGGUGUUCGGGUUGUCAUGCCAAUGGCACUGCCCGGUAGCUAAAUGCGGAAGAGAUAAGUGCUGAAAGCAUCUAAGCACGAAACUUGCCCCGAGAUGAGUUCUCCCUGAGACUUUAAGUCUCCUGAAGGAACGUUNNNNNNNNGACGUUGAUAGGCCGGGUGUGUAAGCGCAGCGAUGCGUUGAGCUAACCGGUACUAAUGAACCGUGAGGCUUAACCUU